AACGAACGCUGGCGGCAUGCCUAACACAUGCAAGUCGAACGAGACCUUCGGGUCUAGUGGCGCACGGGUGCGUAACGCGUGGGAACCUGCCCUUAGGUUCGGUGUAACUUCCCGAAAGGGGUGCUAAUACCGGAUAAUGUCUUCGGACCAAAGAUUUAUCGCCUCUGGAUGGGCACGUGUUGGAUUAGCUAGUUGGUAGGGUAAAAGCCUGCCAAGGCGACGUUCCAUAGCUGGUCUGAGAGGAUGAUCAGCCACACUGGGACUGAGACACGGCCCAGACUCCUACGGAAGGCAGCAGUGUGGAAUAGUAGACAAUGGGCGAAAGCCUAAUCCAGCAAUGCCGCGUAAGUGAGGAAGGCCUGAGGGUUGUAAAGCUCUUUUACCCGAGAUGAUAAUGACAGUACCGGGAGAAUAAGCUCCGGCUAACUCCGUG
RNAcentral lists this ribosomal RNA (433 nucleotides) under uncultured bacterium. Its description in RNAcentral is "partial 16S ribosomal RNA". It matches the Rfam family "Bacterial small subunit ribosomal RNA", at positions 29 to 507 of the family's 1533-position model. The record is from RNAcentral.